This is an RNA transcript of Fundulus heteroclitus (mummichog), 2623 nucleotides long. It is a transcript of the gene named SWI5 homologous recombination repair protein, with no coding region annotated. NCBI's taxonomy places the organism in Eukaryota, Metazoa, Chordata, Actinopteri, Cyprinodontiformes, Fundulidae. The record is from RefSeq and is a predicted model, not a curated record. The transcript is spliced from 6 exons.
UGAGUCUGUUUUUAGCUUUAGCCGCGAGCUUCAAACCUCUUCUUCUUCUUCUCGGCGUUGUUGUAUCGGAACAUUAGCGCGAAUGAACGUGUUUCUGUUGAAGUUCCAACAAAAUGAGCACAGAGCAGAGUGUUGACAGUGCAAAUAGUGCCACAGCGCCGGUGGAAGACGACCUAAAGCAAGAAGCAUCAAAGAGAUCUAGAACUCCAUUGUCAAAGUUUAGGAAGGUGAAUUCCCACUUCAAAUCACCUCUUCAAGUAGCAGAAAGUCCUAAAUUGAGUGCCGAAGAGGAGGUGGCAGAACUACAGAGGAAGAAAAGGCAGCUGGAUUCAGAGAUAGCACAGCUGGAGGAACAGGGAUAUAGAGUUGAAGAGCUAGACCAGCAUAUUGAUAAGUUGCAUGAAUACAAUGACAUCAAAGACAUUGGACAGACUCUUCUGGGCCGUAUUGUGUUCCAGUCGUCUGACGGCUUCAUUCAGCAGGAAACUGUACCAAGUCACAAAGUUCAGAUCAUCGCACGCCGACUUCUUGAAGAUGAAAUUGAUCUUACUUUAUCCAGGGACCUCAAGAUCUCACCAGAUCUCAAUUUAAUAGCACACCUUUGCUAUGUGAGGGAACGGGAGGUUAACUUCAGGAAUAAGCAGCCGAAAUAUCUGCAGCAACUCUGUGAUGCCAACUUGUCCAUAUCGACAAGGUUUCCAACAACCUCGCCAUGAAGAACAAGGGCAGUUCUUUAAAAAAGAAAAGUAAAAGAAGGUCCAACCUGAUGUCAGCAAGGUGUACCUAAUAAUGUGGCCAUGGAGUGAGUGUUUAUGUAUGUGUUAUUUUUAUUCAUAAUAAUGUUAUUGUCUUUUCUGGUGGAACUAUACAUCUAUCCAAAUCAUAGUUAUUCACAGACCUAGAUUAUCACAAAAGCCAUAACUGUUUAUAUACCAGCAUGUUUUAUCUCUUCUUACAUUUCUGCGUGUUUGAUUUAGUUUAAAAGUUGAUGUUUAAUCUUUGGCUUUUUAAUUAACCCUGGUGUCACCUUCGCAAACAUUUGUUCAAAUGUUGCCUUGAGGACGCUUUUACCUGUUCUGUUAACCAUCAAUUUGACAGGACACUAAUGUAAACAAGAUCUUUGAUAUGAAUUUGUUUGGGGUUUAUUUUUGGCUUUAAUGAACUUAAUAGUUUUCCACUGGAAGGAAAAGCUGGGUGAGAGGAGAGGUUAAAUGCCUAUUCAACAUAUAGUAGAAGCCCUCAACAGUAAUUCUAGGAACAGGCAAAAGUAUUUAGCUGUUUGCAUUGAAAAGCAAUGGAGUACAGAAAGAACAAGAGACCUCUGUGUGUGUUUGAAGACCCUGCCUGCUGUAUUCCUGAAAAGCUAAUGCUAACAUAUGUACAAUGUCUCAGAUUUACUGCCAUUAAAAUCAAUCUGCAGAACAGUCGUAUCAAACAAAUAGUCUCUUACUUUAACACUGAUAAUUCUGUUAUACCUGCAUCGCUUAUUCAUUCUGUGUUGUCAAAUGUUCCUUUUCUUACCCUGCAGCGUUAGACGUGGUGCCGGCUGCUUAGAUAGAAUGGUAUCUUAAUUGAUCUCUAAAUGUGAACUACUCUGAGCUAAGAAAGCUGCUUUUUCUUUAUUUGUGGUAGGAUGGUCAUCAUGAGAUAGUGUUAACAAUUUUUUUUUUUUUUAUUGUUUUUCAUUUUCGUUCACCCAAUUUGAUCUCUAACAGUGGUAAAUAAUAAACCAGUAGUCAAAGCAGCUCUCCCCUACAAUACUUUCUUCACACUCCGUUAGAUCAACGGACUUACCUACUAUGAAAUGCUAAAGCUGAAGGUUUGUUCAGAUGUUCUUAAAAGAGCAAUUAUUUGCGUUCUUUCGUCAAAAAGAAUGAAAAUGUAUAUUCAAAUGGCCAAGAAUGCAAAACGUAGUGUGGCGCCGGUAACAUUUUAACACGGUGGUUGUUGGGUUUUUUUUGUCUAUCCCCAUGUUGAGCGCUGGUGUGGAUGUCCCACGCUGUGAUCUUGGUCUGCUGCUCUGAGGGGGACCACCACGCGAGAACUCUACGCACACUUUGGUCUUGAACUGGACGACUGAAGACGAGAGCCUGCGAAGUGCAGUUAUGACUGCUUCACCAAACCCGUUAAAGAAUAUAAAAGUUAGGCAGAAGCAGCUAAUUUAAAAGCAAUAUGCUUUGGAACUAUAUGUCCUUUUUUAUUUUCCUUUUUUUGUAUAUAUAAUUAUUUAAUGAGAUGGGGGGGUUAGUUGAGUUUAACAGAUCUACAAUCCGAUCUGAAUAAUGCCAGAGACAACAAGGAGGUAAUGGGCAUUGUUCAGCAUGUAUGUUAUUUAAAGCAUGCUUGCUAUUCUGACAUUUGGCUCACGGCAAGUUACUGCGUAGUAACAGAGACAUUUUUUCCAACCCCCGGUUUGUCUAAGGUGUGAGAGGAUGUUAAGUGUAUUUCUGCGGUAGCGUACAAGAAAUCGUUUCCUCACAUUUGAAAUGGCAUGAAUUGAUUGCUUAGAGAAACACGACAGCACAGAUGUCACUGUUGUUCUUGUUAAAAGCUCAGAGCUCUUUAUGUAAUUUCCUCUAUAUAGACUAAUUUGUAAUAAUAAAACACACAAAGCAUCAAAAAG